AACAAGAAAUAUCUAGCUUCUCAUCAACCACAAAUAUAUUUAUGGUGGUCGGUGGAAAAUCAAUCUACAAGCCAAUUAAUUAGUAUGAAGAUGAUUUUAAUCUUGAUCAUCGUCAUCUUCAUAAUCCUCGUCUCUCUCCUCUGUAAUUGUCGCCAAUUUAGGCGAACAAGAGGGCUUUUCUUGGGAAACUAUAGGCGACGGUGAAACCUCAAUCCAAGGCUCAAUAUCCAUGAUUUUGUUAGCCACUGCCAUUACAAUUGAAUGAAAAAUAAACUCAACGUAACAAUGUCAGGAAUUUAAGUGAUCGAGGAAGAGAAAUCGCAUGCGGUAUAUUCUCUCUUUCUCUUUGUUUCGAUGAGAAAGAGAGGGUGGAAAAUGGAAAUCUAUGCAAAAAUUUGAUGCCAAAUUAAGAAGAGGUGUAUUAAUGAAAUGAAAAAUAUCAUUUGGGGUUUAUGUAUAUAUAGGGUUGGUAGCUUGUAGGAGGGAAAAAAUUAGCCAUGCAAAAAUAUUAAAUAUAGGGAGGAAAUCCUGAGGAGGGCAUUUAGCUAGACAUCCAAUUGGACAAUCUGAAAACUGGCUCACAAAUAAUAUAUAGAAAGCGGUACUACAUUUUUGUAGGAAAAUGAAUGGAGAACAAUGUGUAGAUUCCUAAAAUACCUCUGCUGGGCCUGGGGUGGAUAUAUUUAUGUAGGAAUUGGGCACAGCUCAA
This 709-nucleotide long non-coding RNA is filed under the name Panax ginseng (ginseng). Its description in RNAcentral is "long non-coding RNA (PGIN_LNC005462)". The record is from RNAcentral. Lineage: Eukaryota; Viridiplantae; Streptophyta; Magnoliopsida; Apiales; Araliaceae.